This 253-nucleotide ribosomal RNA is filed under the name uncultured bacterium. Its description in RNAcentral is "partial 16S ribosomal RNA". It matches the Rfam family "Bacterial small subunit ribosomal RNA", at positions 524 to 776 of the family's 1533-position model. The record is from RNAcentral.
UACGUAGGGUGCAAGCGUUAAUCGGAAUUACUGGGCGUAAAGCGUGCGCAGGGGGUUUUGUAAGUCUGAUGUGAAAUCCCCGGGCUCAACCUGGGAAUUGCAUUGGAGACUGCAAGGCUAGAAUCUGGCAGAGGGGGGUAGAAUUCCACGUGUAGCAGUGAAAUGCGUAGAGAUGUGGAGGAACACCGAUGGCGAAGGCAGCCCCCUGGGUCAAGAUUGACGCUCAUGCACGAAAGCGUGGGGAGCAAACAGG